RNAcentral lists this ribosomal RNA (459 nucleotides) under uncultured bacterium. Its description in RNAcentral is "partial 16S ribosomal RNA". It matches the Rfam family "Bacterial small subunit ribosomal RNA", at positions 338 to 795 of the family's 1533-position model. The record is from RNAcentral.
CCUACGGGAGGCAGCAGUGAGGAAUAUUGGUCAAUGGGAGAGAUCCUGAACCAGCCAAGCCGCGUGAGGGAAGACGGCCCUAUGGGUUGUAAACCUCUUUUGUCGGAGAACAAAACCCGGGACGAGUCCCGGACUGCGUGUAUCCGAAGAAAAAGCAUCGGCUAACUCCGUGCCAGCAGCCGCGGUAAUACGGAGGAUGCGAGCGUUAUCCGGAUUUAUUGGGUUUAAAGGGUGCGUAGGCGGUCUGUUAAGUCAGCGGUAAAAUGGCGGGGCUAAACCCCGUCGAGCCGUUGAAACUGGCAGACUUGAGUUGGCGAGAAGUACGCGGAAUGCGCGGUGUAGCGGUGAAAUGCAUAGAUAUCGCGCAGAACUCCGAUUGCGAAGGCAGCGUACCGGCGCCAGACUGACGCUGAGGCACGAAAGCGUGGGGAUCGAACAGGAUUAGAUACCCGAGUAGUC